Molecule: long non-coding RNA, 236 nt
Filed under: Physcomitrium patens
Lineage: Eukaryota; Viridiplantae; Streptophyta; Bryopsida; Funariales; Funariaceae
Description: long non-coding RNA (PPAT_LNC014289)
Source: RNAcentral
UAAGGUUCGAUUUAGGAUUUGGUUUAGGAUUAAGAUUAAGAUUUUGGAUUGAUUUAGAAUUUAUUAAGGAUUUGAUUAGGAUUUGAUUAGGAUUUGAUUAGGAUUUGGUUAGGGCUUAUUUAGGAUUUGAUUAGGUUUUAAGUUUUGGUUAGAAUUAAAAUUUGAUUAGAAUUAAGAUUUGGUUAGGAUUAGGAUUUGAUUAGGAUUAGGAUUUGAUUUGGAUUUCUUUAGGAUUU